UACGUAGGUGGCAAGCGUUGUCCGGAUUUACUGGGCGUAAAGAGUGCGCAGGCGGUCGUUCAAGUCGCGUGUGAAAGCCCCCGGCUCAACUGGGGAGGGUCACGCGAUACUGAGCGGCUCGAAGGCAGGAGAGGGUAGUGGAAUUCCCGGUGUAGCGGUGAAAUGCGCAGAUAUCGGGAAGAACACCCGCGGUGAAGGCGGUUCUCUGGGACGGUACUGACGCUGAGACGCGAAAGCGUGGGGAGCGAACAGG
RNAcentral lists this ribosomal RNA (253 nucleotides) under uncultured bacterium. Its description in RNAcentral is "partial 16S ribosomal RNA". It matches the Rfam family "Bacterial small subunit ribosomal RNA", at positions 524 to 776 of the family's 1533-position model. The record is from RNAcentral.